RNAcentral lists this transfer RNA (85 nucleotides) under Felis catus (domestic cat). It matches the Rfam family "tRNA". Rfam says of the family: Transfer RNA (tRNA) molecules are approximately 80 nucleotides in length. Their secondary structure includes four short double-helical elements and three loops (D, anti-codon, and T loops). The record is from Rfam by way of RNAcentral. Lineage: Eukaryota; Metazoa; Chordata; Mammalia; Carnivora; Felidae.
ACCUGGGUGGCUCAGUCGGUUGAGUGUCCGACUUCGGCUCAGGUCAUGAUCUCACGGUCUGUGGGUUCGAGCCCCACAUCAGGCU